UCCAGGCCAGAAUCCAAUUACAUACACCUGUUGGCAUAAGUCACAGUAUAAAUCAUAGCACUGACCUGCCAUAGUAAUAAAGUCAGAGCUUACAUUUUUCAUCAUGUUCCAAUCCUAUCAAUAAGAAUAGGAUAAAUCUAUCAAUGACUACUACUUAUUAUGGUCAGAUGACCUCUGGGAUCAAAGGCAAGGCUACCUUCAUCAUUAGACAAGGCAAGCUGCUCAACAUAGCAGCUUUUGGUGACAUGAAACUCUGAACUUAAAAGGGGCCCUAGAAUUAUUAUAAGAAUCUCUUCUUGGCCUCAGGAUAAUAAACGCUGAGGCGUUCAACUAUUACUGGUCCAAGGGCUUCUCAGGAUCUACUUGGGGUCGUGCAGUUACAACAUGCUUGAAGUGAGGGCAGAAAGCAGGAGAUGGUUUCAGGAGAUGUUCAGUGAGUGAUGGGUU
Non-coding RNA from Pogona vitticeps (central bearded dragon), 447 nucleotides. NCBI's taxonomy places the organism in Eukaryota, Metazoa, Chordata, Lepidosauria, Squamata, Agamidae. The record is from RefSeq and is a predicted model, not a curated record.